AUUGAACGCUGGCGGCAUGCCUAACACAUGCAAGUCGAGCGGCAGCAGGUCCUUCGGGAUGCUGGCGAGCGGCGGACGGGUGAGUAACACGUGGGAAUCCGCCUUUCGGUGGGGGAUAGCCCGGGGAAACUCGGAUUAAUACCGCAUACGCCCUACGGGGCAAAGUGGCCCUCUGAUUCAAGGUCACGCCGAAAGAUGAGCCCGCGCCCGAUUAGCUAGUUGGUAGGGUAAAGGCCUACCAAGGCAACGAUCGGUAGCUGGUCUGAGAGGACGAUCAGCCACACCGGAACUGAGACACGGUCCGGACUCCUACGGGAGGCAGCAGUGGGGAAUAUUGGACAAUGGGCGAAAGCCUGAACCAGCAAUGCCGCGUGGGUGAAGAAGGCUUGCGGGUUGUAAAGCCCUUUCAGCCGGGAGGAAAAGCGUACGGUUAAUACCCGUACGUAUUGACGUUACCGGCAGAAGAAGCACCGGCUAACUCCGUGCCAGCAGCCGCGGUAAUACGGAGGGUGCAAGCGUUAAUCGGAAUUACUGGGCGUAAAGCGCGCGUAGGCGGUCUGAUAAGUCGAGUGUGAAAGCCCCGGGCUCAACCUGGGAAUUGCAUUCGAUACUGU
Molecule: ribosomal RNA, 614 nt
Filed under: uncultured Nitrococcus sp.
Lineage: Bacteria; Pseudomonadati; Pseudomonadota; Gammaproteobacteria; Chromatiales; Ectothiorhodospiraceae
Description: bacterial SSU rRNA
Rfam family: Bacterial small subunit ribosomal RNA
Source: RNAcentral